CCACUGUGUUGCUAAUGUUCUCUCCACCAGAGUGGUCCACUGUGACCUGCUUCAUGACCCCUGGAGGUAGCAACCCUGCACCAUCCUGUCUAGGAUUUCCCCCAGUCUCACUCCCCAGAAGAUGCUGGGCCUCCGGGGACUUCAGUGACCUCUCCUUACAACGGACAAAGUAAACAACCAGCAGCACGACAACCCCUAGUAGCCCACCUAUCAGCAGCAGCCAAGGGAGAGUGGAAGGGCUCGGUCCAGUAUCUGUUGCUAAGAGAUGAGAUUAUAUCAGAGGUGUUGGUGAACCCCUCCCGCAUCUGAACUGGCUACAUAGAGGGCACAGCAUGAUCAGA
Oncorhynchus tshawytscha (Chinook salmon) is the source of this 341-nucleotide long non-coding RNA. Lineage: Eukaryota; Metazoa; Chordata; Actinopteri; Salmoniformes; Salmonidae. The record is from Ensembl.